Molecule: non-coding RNA, 319 nt
Organism: Pelobates cultripes (western spadefoot toad)
Lineage: Eukaryota; Metazoa; Chordata; Amphibia; Anura; Pelobatidae
Source: the annotation of a GenBank genome assembly
CGGAAACACAACCGGAAUUAAUGUGUCCCCCCGGAAACACAACCGGAAUUAAUGUGUCCCCCCGGAAACAAAACCGGAAUUAAUGUGUCCCCCCGGAAACAAAAUCGGAAUUAAUGUGUCCCCCCCCGGAAACACAACCGGAAUUAAUGUGUCCCCUCGGAAACACAACUGGAAUUAAUGUGUCCCCUCGGAAACACAACUGGAAUUACUGUUUCCCCCCGGAAACACAACCGGAAUUAAUGUGUCCCCCCGGAAACACAACCGGAAUUAAUGUGUCCCCCCGGAAACAAAACCGGAAUUAAUGUGUCCCCCCGGAAAC